This 253-nucleotide ribosomal RNA is filed under the name uncultured bacterium. RNAcentral describes it as "partial 16S ribosomal RNA". It matches the Rfam family "Bacterial small subunit ribosomal RNA", at positions 524 to 776 of the family's 1533-position model. The record is from RNAcentral.
UACGUAGGGCGCAAGCGUUGUCCGGAUUUAUUGGGCGUAAAGAGCUCGUAGGCGGUUUGUCGCGUCGGAUGUGAAAACCCGGAACUCAACUCCGGGCCUGCAUUCGAUACGGGCAGACUUGAGUACUGCAGGGGAGACUGGAAUUCCUGGUGUAGCGGUGGAAUGCGCAGAUAUCAGGAGGAACACCGGUGGCGAAGGCGGGUCUCUGGGCCGAUACUGACGCUGAGGAGCGAAAGCGUGGGGAGCGAACAGG